Molecule: non-coding RNA, 623 nt
Organism: Taeniopygia guttata (zebra finch)
Lineage: Eukaryota; Metazoa; Chordata; Aves; Passeriformes; Estrildidae
Source: RefSeq, a predicted model, not a curated record
CUUUUACCUUGCAACUCCUUAUUGCCAAAAGGUGACUUGAUUUAUCUAGUAACUGUGUGAAAAUAAGAAUUCCCUUUGAUAUUUAAAUACAUUUCUAGGAAUUUAAUUCUAUGUUUUGGCUUAUAAAAUGUUGCAAAUACCCCUUAUUAAUCUCCAGAAAGGUUAUUGUUAUACAGCUCUCUACUACAACUUUUUCAGUAAUUUCUGAGAGAGAAUAGGACAUUUCUGUCAGCUUUCUGAAGGGAAAUGAAGUCAAAUAUAUUGACUUUGAUUCUAGAUUACCGUUAGUUUUUAGUUUUAAAGAUUAACAGAAGGGCACAGGUAGAUAAGUGCAUCCACAUUAACCCCUUUCUGUAUCUUUUCUCCUUUUAGAAGAUCAUUUCAUGAGAUUGAGAAGAGUGGGGAAUCAGAGUGGCACAAGCUAUUCAAACUAUAGGCGUAGCACCAAUAUAUUCAGUGGCAUAAUAUCUGGAGGUCAUGCUGAAUUGUCUGUUCACUAAAAGCCAACAUGAUACUGUCCCCACUCCUUGUCAGAAGGAGCACACCGAGCUGUGUCCUAGAAUUUCUACUGCUCUCCUGAUCCAGCUCACAACCCUGAGGUCAAAAGGAGCUUGACCUUCUCA